This 248-nucleotide unclassified non-coding RNA is filed under the name Hevea brasiliensis (rubber tree). The record is from RNAcentral. Lineage: Eukaryota; Viridiplantae; Streptophyta; Magnoliopsida; Malpighiales; Euphorbiaceae.
UCUUAUUGCAACUCCUGUGCUGUGUUGGAUGAGGUUGACAUCCUCUUUAAUGAUGAGGAUUUUGAGACUGCAUUUCAAUGCUUGAUUAAUUCAUCACCUAUCAUCACACAAUAUCUAUUUGUGACUGCUACUUUGCCCAUGGACAUAUACAACAAGUUGGUAGAAAGUUUUCCUGAUUGCGAACUAGUGACUGGUCCUGGUAUGCAUCGUACAAGCCCUGGCUUGGAAGAGACUACCUCUCAAGAAAG